CCGAAGAGGCGGAGGGGAGAGGACGCGGGAAGCCAGUGUGCUCCGGACGCAGUGUCCUAGUGCUCGAUUGGGUCAUCCUCUGCAGCGCUGAUUGUCCCUGUCCAAGACUGCGGAAUGAAGAAUCCAGGCUGGGAGCCGGUUGAAGCCCCGACUCCGUCCUCAGUCCUCUUUCCCUACCAAGGAUGGCUUCAGGCUCCCGAAGUUGGCGGGUUUGGACUUUUAUCUCUUUUUUUUGCUUUGAGAACCUGUGUGUAAGCCCUCUCUGGUCAGCAAAGGAAUCUGUGCCGAGCGCCAUGAAUUAGAGGAUGGAGGAAUGAGUGCUUGAAGAUGCCCGAGGUCCAGGUGAGAAAUCAGGGUUGAAAACUGCAUGGAGGAUUCAUCAUUUCUGCCCUGAAUUGGAAUCAAUUUCUUAUUGACUUAUUAUUACUGUAUUAAAAGUGUUUUUAAUUAACCAUGG
Long non-coding RNA from Mus caroli (Ryukyu mouse), 457 nucleotides. RefSeq lists it as uncharacterized. The record is from RefSeq and is a predicted model, not a curated record. NCBI's taxonomy places the organism in Eukaryota, Metazoa, Chordata, Mammalia, Rodentia, Muridae.